Molecule: ribosomal RNA, 467 nt
Filed under: uncultured bacterium
Lineage: Bacteria
Description: partial 16S ribosomal RNA
Rfam family: Bacterial small subunit ribosomal RNA
Source: RNAcentral
GACGAACGCUGGCGGCGUGCUUAACACAUGCAAGUCGAACGGUGAUGCUCCAGCUUGCUGGAGUGGAUCAGUGGCGAACGGGUGAGUAACACGUGAGCAACCUGCCCCAGACUCUGGAAUAAGCGCUGGAAACGGCGUCUAAUACUGGAUACGAAACUGGCCCGCAUGGGCAUGGUUUGGAAAGUUUUUCGGUUUGGGAUGGGCUCGCGGCCUAUCAGCUUGUUGGUGAGGUAAUGGCUCACCAAGGCGACGACGGGUAGCCGGCCUGAGAGGGCGACCGGCCACACUGGGACUGGGACACGGCCCAGACGCCUUCGGGAGGCAGCGGUGGGGAAUAUUGCACAAUGUGCGAAGGCCGGAUGCAGCGACGCCGCGUUGGGGAGGACGGCCUUCGGGUUGUAAACCUCUUUCAGCAGGGAAGAAGCGAAAGGGACGGUACCUGCAGAAGAAGCACCGGCUAACUACGU